Molecule: ribosomal RNA, 403 nt
Filed under: uncultured bacterium
Lineage: Bacteria
Description: partial 16S ribosomal RNA
Rfam family: Bacterial small subunit ribosomal RNA
Source: RNAcentral
AUUGAACGCUGGCGGCAGGCCUAACACAUGCAAGUCGAGCGCGCGGCGGACGGGUGAGUAAUGUAUGGGGACUGCCCGAUAGAGGGGGCUAACUACUGGAAACGGUGGCUAAUACCGCAUACUAUCGGAUAACCCAUAUGGGAUUAGCUAGUAGGUGGGGUAAAGGCUAACAUAGGCGACGAUCUCUAGCUGGUCUGAGAGGAUGAUCAGACACACUGUGAGUGAGAUAAGGCCCUGACUCCUACGGAGGCAUCAGGGGGGAAUAUAGCACAAUGGGCGCAAGCCUGAUGCAGCAAUGCCGCGUGAGUGAAGAAGGCCGUAGGGUUAUAAAGUACUGUCAGCAGGGAGGCGUUACCCGCAGAGGAAGCACCGGCUAACUCCGUGCCAGCAGCCGCGGUAAUAC